AGCGAACGCUGGCGGCAGGCUUAACACAUGCAAGUCGAACGGGCAUAGCAAUAUGUCAGUGGCAGACGGGUGAGUAACGCGUGGGAACGUACCUUUUGGUUCGGAACAACACAGGGAAACUUGUGCUAAUACCGGAUAAGCCCUUACGGGGAAAGAUUUAUCGCCGAAAGAUCGGCCCGCGUCUGAUUAGCUAGUUGGUAGGGUAAUGGCCUACCAAGGCGACGAUCAGUAGCUGGUCUGAGAGGAUGAUCAGCCACAUUGGGACUGAGACACGGCCCAAACUCCCACGGGAGGCAGCAGUGGGGAAUAUUGGACAAUGGGCGAAAGCCUGAUCCAGCCAUGCCGCGUGAGUGAUGAAGGCCCUAGGGUUGUAAAGCUCUUUUGUGCGGGAAGAUAAUGACGGUACCGCAAGAAUAAGCCCCGGCUAACUUCGUG
RNAcentral lists this ribosomal RNA (435 nucleotides) under uncultured bacterium. RNAcentral's name for it is "partial 16S ribosomal RNA". It matches the Rfam family "Bacterial small subunit ribosomal RNA", at positions 29 to 507 of the family's 1533-position model. The record is from RNAcentral.